This 21-nucleotide non-coding RNA is filed under the name Arabidopsis thaliana (thale cress). Lineage: Eukaryota; Viridiplantae; Streptophyta; Magnoliopsida; Brassicales; Brassicaceae. The record is from RNAcentral.
CCAAAGGUGUGAUCAGGAUGG